This 249-nucleotide ribosomal RNA is filed under the name uncultured bacterium. Its description in RNAcentral is "partial small subunit ribosomal RNA". It matches the Rfam family "Bacterial small subunit ribosomal RNA", at positions 29 to 284 of the family's 1533-position model. The record is from RNAcentral.
AGAAUACAACGCGUGGCGGCGGUGACCUAACACAUGACAAGUCGCGACGAGAAGGGUAGCAAUACCUGAGUACAGUGGCGCACGGGUGAGUAACACGUGAAUAAUCUACCUCCGAGUGGGGAAUAACUGAGAGAAAUCUUAGCUAAUACCGCAUAACACUUACGAGUCAAAGCAGCAAUGCGCUUGGAGAGGAGUUCGCGGCAGAUUAGUUAGUUGGCGGGGUAAUGGCCCACCAAGACGAUGAUCUGU